AGAACAAUCUGUUAGGUGAGGCUCCUGUCUGGAAAUACGCUACUGCCCUCCAAUAAUCGAGAGAAUAUUGUGAUGAGUUUUUUAGGGUCAACUGAAAUUGUCGAACAAGGCUUUUUCUAAUGUAGCUGAUAGUGAUUAUUGACUAUCUAAGCCAUUCAGUGCUAAAACUCGACGUUGAGAUUUGGCG
RNAcentral lists this small RNA (187 nucleotides) under Vagococcus lutrae. Its description in RNAcentral is "Magnesium sequence". It matches the Rfam family "M-box riboswitch aptamer (ykoK leader)". From Rfam's summary of the family: M-box riboswitch, also know as ykoK leader is described as a metaloregulatory RNA that sense divalent metals and function as a genetic control element of genes related to divalent metal transport in bacteria. It was first reported upstream of the B.subtilis ykoK gene and genes with related functions in other bacteria. The record is from RNAcentral. RNAcentral also lists the same sequence under 1 other name. Lineage: Bacteria; Bacillati; Bacillota; Bacilli; Lactobacillales; Enterococcaceae.